Molecule: ribosomal RNA, 441 nt
Filed under: Triticum aestivum (bread wheat)
Lineage: Eukaryota; Viridiplantae; Streptophyta; Magnoliopsida; Poales; Poaceae
Description: partial small subunit ribosomal RNA
Source: RNAcentral
AUGCACGUGAUGUGGCACAACACCGGCAAUACCUUGCCGAUGAUGGUCAAUGGCUGGCAGACGGGCAGCAAAAAGGUUCUGGUGCUGCACACCAACAAGAACUUCGACCAGCAGAGGACCAACUGGGUGAUGCACCAGUACCACCUCGGGGACCUGGAGCAAGAGAAGGAGCGGGAGCUGGUCCUCUGCAAGAUUUUCUACCAGACGAACACUAGGGCCAGGAGUCGAGCAAGUUUCAACUGGGUUGUAGACUGCCCAGGCUUGGUUUUGUUUCUAACAGGCCCAGCCCAUGACGACAACGGGGCACAAAGAUCCAGCAGCCUAGCCAGUUUAGCCAGAUGCGGUGCCGAACUGUCGAUGAAGCGGGGCAAGCGCAAUCGACAGCGGGCUGAUGCGGGGGAUGAAGCUGAGACCUCGAUGAAGCGGCGCAAGCGCAACUGA